Lolium rigidum is the source of this 369-nucleotide long non-coding RNA. RefSeq lists it as uncharacterized. Lineage: Eukaryota; Viridiplantae; Streptophyta; Magnoliopsida; Poales; Poaceae. The transcript is spliced from 2 exons. The record is from RefSeq and is a predicted model, not a curated record.
GGUCUGCAACCAUGCGAGCAACAGCUUUCGCCGGACACCUUUGUUUCAGGCAUGAACAACAAGUUACUCACAAUUGAGUUGAGAAAUGCCUGGCAAUUAUUUGGCAAUUGGCAAGAAACCAGCAUGAUGCCAACUUUUUUUUUUAACUGGGAGCAUGAUGCCAACUUGAAGCUGAUAUAAUUUCCUGAUGUUAUACAUCUCGAUGUAAAUGUGAAGCGGUGUAGCUUUGUACUAGUACUACAAACCCUGGAUAUACUAGCCAUUUAUUAUUUUUAUGUGGCUUUAUUAUGCCAACAAUUAGUUCGUUUCUUUUCUAAGGAUGCACAAGUACGUUGAAGUUUAACGUGAUUUUAAGAGCUUUUGUGAUAA